CUGAUUUGUAAUCUUUGGAGAACCCUAUUUUCCGUACUAAAAUCGAACUAAAUGUCUUCUUCCCAAAGAUAUUAUUAUGAAUACCAAUUGUCCCAACAUGACAAUGACGCCAUUCCACCCAAUCCUGCAGAUGAUGUUUAUUAUAACAUCGUAAUAACAUAUAUACUGAAAAAAAGACAAAGUCCUGGUCAAGCUGAUGACGAGGAAACAUUAGGUUCACACUACAGGGGUUUUUACAUGCUUUCUUACAACCUUAUGGACCCUCAAAAUCAUUUAGAUACAGUUUUUAUGCGUCUUUGGGUGUGUGAUGAUGAUGUAAGGCAAAGAUUGGUACGGGACAUUAUGGAUUUUCCUAAUCAAAUAAGGGCGGAUCCAAUUAACGCUGGUAGGACAACAUUCGCAAUGCUUGUGUCCAUUAAGGUUUAUAUUGUACAACAAGAGGAUGAAACUGUUGAGGAUGCCAGGGAGAGGUCCAUUGUGUGUAGGUUCUGGAGUGAAAAUCCGUCAUUCAUUCAAUCGUUGGAGAAGGUUAAAGUAGAAAUUGAUAAUUCGGAACAAGAAGAGUGUUGUAUUUGUUUGAACAAGCCUUGUGUUGGAGAAGAAAUAUCCUUCUUACCAUGCUUGCAUGCUUAUCAUUCUACGUGUAUAAUCACUUGGCUAGCGAAGAACAACCUAUGUCCAUUGUGUCGCACGCCUAUGCCCUCGAAUUAACCCUCAAGGUUUCAUUGAAAUUCUUUAGGAACGGUAGUAUUGUUUAGAAUAUCAAGAUAUUCAACUUCGGUGCAAAAAGUUAGAAGUUGUCUCUAUGUUUCAACGCCCUUUUAUUUUCUGAUUUCUCUUGUUAGUUUGACCAGUGCAUUCCUUUUGAAUCUAUUGUUCAUUGCGUAAUACGGU
This 894-nucleotide long non-coding RNA is filed under the name Olea europaea subsp. europaea. Lineage: Eukaryota; Viridiplantae; Streptophyta; Magnoliopsida; Lamiales; Oleaceae. The record is from RNAcentral.